RNAcentral lists this ribosomal RNA (376 nucleotides) under uncultured Serratia sp. RNAcentral's name for it is "bacterial SSU rRNA". It matches the Rfam family "Bacterial small subunit ribosomal RNA", at positions 521 to 896 of the family's 1533-position model. Lineage: Bacteria; Pseudomonadati; Pseudomonadota; Gammaproteobacteria; Enterobacterales; Yersiniaceae. The record is from RNAcentral.
UAAUACGGAGGGUGCAAGCGUUAAUCGGAAUUACUGGGCGUAAAGCGCACGCAGGCGGUUUGUUAAGUCAGAUGUGAAAUCCCCGGGCUCAACCUGGGAACUGCAUUUGAAACUGGCAAGCUAGAGUCUCGUAGAGGGGGGUAGAAUUCCAGGUGUAGCGGUGAAAUGCGUAGAGAUCUGGAGGAAUACCGGUGGCGAAGGCGGCCCCCUGGACGAAGACUGACGCUCAGGUGCGAAAGCGUGGGGAGCAAACAGGAUUAGAUACCCUGGUAGUCCACGCUGUAAACGAUGUCGAUUUGGAGGUUGUGCCCUUGAGGCGUGGCUUCCGGAGCUAACGCGUUAAAUCGACCGCCGUGGGAGUACGGCCGCAAGGUUA